RNAcentral lists this ribosomal RNA (253 nucleotides) under uncultured bacterium. RNAcentral describes it as "partial 16S ribosomal RNA". It matches the Rfam family "Bacterial small subunit ribosomal RNA", at positions 524 to 776 of the family's 1533-position model. The record is from RNAcentral.
UACAGAGGUCCCAAGCGUUGUUCGGAUUCACUGGGCGUAAAGGGUGCGUAGGCGGUCGGGCAAGUCUGAUGUGAAAUCUCACAGCUUAACUGUGAGACUGCAUUGGAUACUAUCCGGCUCGAGGAAUGGAGGGGAGACUGGAAUACUUGGUGUAGCAGUGAAAUGCGUAGAUAUCAAGUGGAACACCAGUGGCGAAGGCGAGUCUCUGGACAUUUCCUGACGCUGAGGCACGAAAGCCAGGGGAGCAAACGGG